RNAcentral lists this long non-coding RNA (1327 nucleotides) under Equus asinus (donkey). RNAcentral describes it as "lncRNA (ENSEASG00005025895.1)". Lineage: Eukaryota; Metazoa; Chordata; Mammalia; Perissodactyla; Equidae. The record is from RNAcentral.
GAAGAGAGGUCUUGGCCAGACGCUGCGGAAGAGCGUUUGUUAGCGUGAGGAGCGGAGGGUGCGGGAGGGAGCGGGAAGGAAGGUGGGCGUGUCGCUGGCCUUGAGGCAAAAAGAGACUGGGUCUGAGGUUUGGAAGACGGAAGUGGUGGUAUACCCAAUCCCUCCACCCAUCUGUCCAGCCAGCAAAUAUUUUUGAGCACCUGCACGGGGCUCUGGGGAUGCUUCAGUGAACAAGACGGACGCAGACAGUCCCGGUCCUCACUGAGCUGGUACCUGAACUUAGAACCAUCGUUUUUUCCCAACAGCCAUUAUGGGGCACACCCCUUCGCCUUCUGGGCUGGUUUCCCCCACUGCAAGAUGGGAUAAUGAACUGCGUCCCUCACAGGUCUGUGGAGAGGCUUAGGUGCUGGCACCCGCUCUGCGCCUCUUCCCUUCCCUCAGCCCCACCCCUCCCUUCUCAGGAGCUGAAAACGCCGCUGAGCCCUGCGGUCAUGGUGGGGGGGGGGGCGUCCACCCUCCCGCAGAGUCUGGUUAAGGCCUAAACUUGAAGGGAUCCUCCAGGCCUGUGGAGACCUUCUAAACCUCGGAGUUUUGAAUUUGAUGAUUUGUAUCUAUUCCAGGUUCCAGCAAAAAAAGUGUUUCUAAGGAAACAAGUUGGAGACGAUUUUUACUGAUGAUAUACAUAUACAUGUGUACAUACCCAUACAAAUCUACAUACACUGAUAUGUAUCAUGUACACAUAUGUACACACAGACACACUGAUAUAUAUCAUGUACACACGUGUGCACACAGACACACUGAUAUAUAUCAUGUACACACAUAUGCACACAGAUACACUGAUAUAUAUCAUGUACACACAUAUGCACACAGAUACACUGAUAUAUAUCAUGUACACACAUAUGCACACAGAUACACUGAUAUAUAUCAUGUACACACGUGUGCACACAGAUACACUGAUACAUAUCAUGUACACACGUAUGCACACACAGACACACUGAUAUAUAUCAUGUACACACGUAUGUACACACAGAUACACUGAUAUAUAUCAUGUACACACGUAUGCACACACAGACACACUGAUAUAUAUCAUGUACACACGUAUGUGCACACAGACACACUGAUAUAUAUCAUGUACACACGUAUGCACACACAGACACACUGAUAUAUAUCAUGUACACACAUAUGCACACACAGAUACACUGAUAUAUAUCAUGUACACACAUAUGUGCACACAGACACACUGAUAUGUAUCAUGUACACACGUAUGCACACACAGAUACACUGAUACAUAUAUACACACUGCUUUAGAUACUAUGCAUACAUAUAC